UUUUAUUAAAGUGUAGUUGAUUUAUAGUGUUGUAUAAGUUUCUGCUGCACAGCACAGUGACCCAGUCAUCCAUAUAUAUACAUUCCUUAUAUUAUUUUUCAUCAUAGUCUUAUCCCAGGAGACUGGAUAUAGCCCCCUGUGCUGUCCAGCAGGACCUCACUGCUUAUCCAUGCUAAAUGUAAUAGUUUGCAUCUGUAACCCCAAACUCCCUGAGAGCGAUCUUAUCAUCUUAUCGUUGGAAACAAGUUUUCCUUGGAUGAGUUGACACAGCGGGGAGGGAUUGGCCUUGGGGUGGAGGCAGGUUUCCCAGGGUUUGUGUGGGACUUUGGAGCCAAGAGUAAGUUAGAGCCCAUAGCUCUGCUCCCACCAGCUAGGACCCCAGACACCUUGUGACUCCCUGAAAGUUUCAGUGAUGUUUCAGCCACACGCUCAGCACUAGGCCAGGACGGAAGAAGAGCUCUAUGGGGCUAGUAGCCAUGAGUCUGCUUCUGGUGUUUGAUACCACACAAUGCCACCUUUCUGUCCCCUGCCAAGCCAAGUCGACAGACCUUUGAAACCUUUGCAGGAGAAGCCUUUUGCCUUGUUCCCUGUUUCACAAAGCCAGAAUUUUUUUUUAUUUUAUUUUUUCUUUUAUUUUUAGGGAUGCACCCCGGCAUAUGGAAGUUCCCAGGGUAGGAGUCAAAUCAGAGCUGUAGCUGCCAGCCAACGCAGGAUCCAAGCAGUGUCUGUGACCUACCCCACAGCUCACAGCAAUGCCGGAUCCUUAACCCACUGAGCAAGGCUAGACAUCGAACCUGAGUCCUCAUGGAUGGUAGUCAGAUUCAUUAACUGCUGAGCCACGAUGGAAAUUCCCUACAAAGCCAGAAUUUUAAACAGCUGCUUAAAUGGAAAAGUGGGUAGCAUGUCAGUAUCAGGUUAAAAGGAAGCCUGCAGUGUUUGGAGGGACAUGAGAACUCCUGAGAGUCACUGGGGAGUUUAGUCAGCAUGAAGGGGAGUAUUUUGUGCAUAACUGGAACUCAGGAUGGAAGCGGGUAGUGGGGAGUUAGUCACCAAAUGCCUUUGCUGAAACUGUUCAAAGAAAGAAUUUCUUUGUUGCAUAGACUGUCAUUCAGAUCUAGGUGUCUUAUCUUUAAAUAAAUAAUCCUCCAAGGUAGAUACUAUUAUUACCUUCAUUUUCCAGGUGAGGCAAUAAGCACAGAGAGGUUAUGUAACCUUGUCGAGGUCACACAGGGAGUGAGUGGAAGAGUCAGAACACAAACCCCAGCCCACUUGAUUCCAAAGUUGUUUGUUUAUUUGUUUACUUUGUAUGCAGAAGGAGCUUGAUGAGUGUUUAUUGAGUCAAAUCAUUCUCAGACACUAAUUACCCAACACAGAGAGGAUUCCCUCAGAAAGACUCUACAAGGUUGUCACACUCCUCCCCCAAACCACACCAGCCUGCUGGAUUUUGCUCCUGACUUUUUGCUGGUGACAAGAUAUUGUGGCACUGGAACAUUCUGAAAAGGAUGUCAUUGUGGCACACAUUUCCAGGAAACACUUCCACGGAAGUAUCUCAAUUUUAUCUGCUUCACACUUUUCUGGCAGACGUUUCUCGGCUUGUUCUGAGAGCGUUGGGUCCGGCCAAGUCUCUUUAGCCUCAAAAAGCCAGGACCAGGUGGUUGCAGGGUGUCAAGCCAGCCCCAGGGGUUGCACUAUCGAUGGAAAGCAUAGGGCAUCCAAGCAACCCUUGGCAGCCGUGCUCCCCAGUCCUGAUGCCCGGCCGGUGCCAGGGAACACAGCCGCAAAGGGGACCCGCUGCCUCCUUUAGCCAGCUGGCCGCUGAGACCAGGCAAUAGUGUUUGGUUGUCACGGGGCUGAUGAGGCCUGAGGAAGGAAAGCAGGACUCAGGCCACAUUCAUCAUUCUCCGGGUAGAAAGCUUCAGUCCCAGAGGUUUGGCUGCUUGGGUUUUUUUUGGACGUAUCACUGCAAUAGGAAAUGCAGAAGGCAGACAGAAACCUCCCCAGCCCCGUGGUUGUCAGCGUGGAGGCCUGUCUUUGUACCCUUCCAUCAGCUGCAUCUUUCUCUCCGUGAGUGAGCUGUGCAUUUUGAAUCUUACCCAGCACGUCUCUGCAUCUCUGGGGGCAUCGCGAACUGCAGACCCCGGGUUUAACCUUCUCAAGAAAAGUGGGGCUUUUCUCUUUGAAUAUUUCACCUUCGAAAUCGAAAAUGUUUCUUCCCACAGUAAUCAGAAGUGUGCACAUCAGAGGACAUGGAGGGAGAGUUUAGGGCUGUUGGAGGGGAGGCGAUGGUUCGUAGAGCAAGGUCCCCAAGCAGGCAGAGGGGUGGAAGGUUGAGGGCACCGGGGGAAAGGCCCCCAUUUGUCAUUGCUCCUUCGGUCCCACCGCUUGUCCCCUUCUGGCCUUGCUGGUACUGUGCUCACCUUCCCGGGAUGUAGCUGGAAGUGCUGGGUGUCUGUGGUGUCAUUAACGGAGCUCCUGGACACUUGAGAGGCAGACGGGGUGGAAGCGAUGAGCAAGGAUGAUGCUGGGCUCUGGGGUGUUUUCCUGUCUCCCGUCUAGAGCCGUGCUUCCUGCCUUCCUCUCUCUCCUCGAGGCUCCCUUAGGAAAGUCAGAGCCUGGCAUGGAAGCAGCAGCCCACAGCUCAAGAGCCUCUGGACGGCCAGGCCCCACUCGGCUGCCCUGGGCUGGGGGACAACUGAACCACAAACCAGGAGAACUGGUUGAGAGGCUCUGAUCUAGAGAACCAUCCGCCUCACAGUGCAGAUCACGCCUGUGCUCCGCUGUCCAGGACCCUCCAUUUACCAAGCCCUCUUGCUGCCGAAAGUUGGAAAUUCAAAGCAGGUGUUUGGUUUUGGAGAUGCUGAAGUCUGGCCCCUUGAUAGGACUUCAGAACAACCUGAGAGCCUGGGAGUUCCUGUCGUGGCUCAGCAAUAACAAACUCAACUAGUAUCCAUGAGGAUACAGGUUUGAUGCCUGGUCCCGCUCAGUGGGUUAAGGAUCUGGCAUUGCUGUGAGCUGUGGUGUAGGUGGCAGAUGAGGCUCAGAUUCCGCGUGGCUGUGGCUGGGGCGUAGGCCAGCUCCGAGUCGACCCUUAGCCUAGGAACUUCCAGAUGCCUCAGGUGAGGCCCUUGGAAAAAAAAAAAAAAAAAAAGGAAAAAACUGAGGGUCAAAGAGUCUCAAGCUGAGGCAUGGUGUUGGGAGCAGAACUGUAACCACAGAAUAAGUGUGAAUGAGGAGGCAUGACGUCACAUCACACAGGUGCAUGUGUGCCCGUGUGUACGUGCAUGCACAUACAUUCACACGUGUCCACACACCAGGUUUAGCAGGGCUCCUCUGCUUCUUUUAAAGUAUCAGGUUUUCAUAUUUCCUUCUAACAACGUGUCUUACAACCAAAUAGAAAUUUUAAACCUCGGGGCUCUGCCACGUUGCCUCCAACUCAAACCCACUCCCCAUCGGGAACUCAAAAGAGGGGAGGCUGGUGUCCAGAGCGGUCACCCUUUGGGCAACGGCCACAGCAUCACGAGCUCUUAGGGACCCAUGCCUGAUGUCAUUUGUCAUCAGCCCAUUUCUAGCUUGAGAGGCCCCUGAUACUGCACAGUGAAUUACCGCAGCAGCCUCCAGCUGGUCUCCCUGGGUCCAGCCUCACUUCUCCCACCUGUAAUGUAGCCAGAAGGGGCUCCUUAGAAACUACAUGCCUGCUGGUGCUACUUUUUUUUUUCCUCCUCUCUUUGUGCCCUUUUGAUUAACCAGCUCUUCCGCAGCAUUCAGGUGCAGCAUAAAUGUUCCUGUGGGGACCUUCUCAAUUCACCACGUCUGUCCUGGGCAUCCCUAUCAUCCUUCUCACUUACCUCUUAGGUCUCUGAUCACACUGUUUGGAAGCUGUCUGCUUUUCUCCCCCGACCCUAAAGAUGCCCUCUAGGACCGUGGGUCUGUCCCAUCUGUGGCUGUGGCCCCAGGGCCUGGCAUAAACAAGAAGGGCAUCCAGCUAGCACCUCUGCUGCCUGAACUUUAGUUUCUGCUUCAGUCUCCAGUGCCUGUCUCUGCUUAUUGUUCUGUUUUAAAGCCUUAGCAUCUCAGUGGUAUCAAGGCGCUCCUAUAAACAAACAGCUUAGCACCAGCAAUGUCCCAGGACCAGGCUAUAUUUAGCACAAUUUGCUCAUAAUUACUGUUCAUCAUUAUGACCCUAGGACACUAUAAAAGUCUUAAGUGCCCUUGACUCAUCAGAGGCAAAUUAAAUUAUGCAUUUAGCAAACAUUUUCGUAUCCACUUUGCACCAAGCAUGUGUAAGGUGUGUAAGAAUGGAUGAAAUGGGUCCCGCCUCCUGGAACUGACCAUGGAGCUUUUAUAUUUUGUUCAUGUUUCUUCCUAUGUUGAAGAUAGCAAAACCCAAACAAGUUAAGCCCCUGAAAAAGGCAAGCUCCAUUUGAAGGAUACUGACACCCCACAGUCUGAGGCCCCAAAGACACUUGCUGCUCUUCAUUCAAGCACAGGGGUGGGAUAAACCUCCCUGAUUUGGAGGCUACAAGGAUGUAUCUGAGGCAAACUCUGCCCUCAAAAACUCACAGUCUUGGCAUUCCCAUUGUGGCUCCGUGGGUUAAGAACCUGACUAGUAUCCAUGAGGAUGCGGGUUCAAUCCCUGGCCUUGCUCAGUGAACUAAGGAUCCAGUGUUACCACAGACGUGGCUCGGAUCUGGCGUUGCCAUGGCUGUGGCAUAGGCCGGCAGCUGCAGCUUUAAUUUGACC
This 4740-nucleotide long non-coding RNA is filed under the name Sus scrofa (pig). Its description in RNAcentral is "lncRNA (ENSSSCG00035069903.1, ENSSSCG00045021201.1)". The record is from RNAcentral. Lineage: Eukaryota; Metazoa; Chordata; Mammalia; Artiodactyla; Suidae.